Long non-coding RNA from Carassius auratus (goldfish), 4113 nucleotides. The record is from Ensembl. Lineage: Eukaryota; Metazoa; Chordata; Actinopteri; Cypriniformes; Cyprinidae.
GUUGCCUUCCAAAUCAACAUGGACUAGGGUUAGGGUUCUUAACAUGAACGACACCGAAAUGGACCAACUUGCUGAUUUCCUGGGACAUGAUAUUCGUAUCCACAGGAAAUAUUACAGAUUACCCGAGGGAACACUAUUAACAGGGUAUGUAACCUGUUAAUCGAGUUUAAACUACCUGUCAAGCGUGUCCUAGUGACUUUGGAAGAAUCUGUGCAUAUGUCUGAAUACGAAGACUAUAUUUCAGAGUGCGUUGAGCCUGAUCCUGGGAUAGAGAGUGAAACAGAACUGUCAGAUCAUUCUCAUGAUUUGUAAACACAUUUUUUUAAGAUGUUUGUAAUUUCCAUUAGUUAAAUAAUAAUUAAAUCAUGCCUUCAAGCAGGCACUUCAGGAGUGAAUAGCAGCAGGCCAGUAAACAUGAAUGAAGGUAAGACGUAUGAACAAGCAGUUAAAUGUUUAAAGCAAUUAGAAUAUCAAGAAUUCCCCCCAAACAGCCAAUCAGUAAUUAGUAGUUUGAUUUAGAAAUGUAUAUGAUUGUGUUUCUAAAGGAUCUCCAGAGAGGACACGGGAGGUCAUGAAAGUAACAUCAGUUCCUAGGAAGAGAAAGUGGAGUGAGGUGGAGAUUGCGGCUGUAGAAGAGACAAUGAUGAAAUGUAUUCACUCGGGAGUUACACCUGGAAAAGUCGACUACAUUGCAUGCAUUACAGAAGCCCCCAAAGCCCUCGGUGAACGAGACUGGCAGGCGGUGAAGUAUUAUAUAAAAAACAAUCACAGCAUAUGAGAGAAAGACCACUAAAAAGUAAGGUUGAUUUUGGUUGUUGAUUCCGUUUUUGCGUUUUAGUUGAAUUAUAAUAUUUUUUUUUUGGUCUCAAUACUAGGGCUGCACGAUAUUGGGGAAAAAGGACAUUGCGAUAUCUUAUUUUUCUGCGAUAUAUAUUGCGAUAUGAUAUCUAAUAUAAUUUUUUCUUACAAACAAACAUGGCAUGAGCACACAUACAUUCUCAUUUUAAAUGAUUUAAACAUCAGAGUAUUGUUUAAAUUAGAGUAAAUUAUUUGUUUGUAACUUUAGGAUAUGGUUUGAAUUGUUAACAUUUAACUAACAUGAACUUACCAUGAGCAAUACUUGUGUUACUAUAUUUUUUAAUCUUUGUUUAUCUUCGUUAUCUUAAAAACACAGCUGUUCAUUGUUUGGUAAUGUUACUUCACAGUAGGGAUGCACCGGUUGACCGGCCAUUAAUCGGAACCGGCCGGUUUUUGCUUAAAAUACGCAAUCGCCCGUUUUUGGUGUUUUUCCGGCCGAUUUUUCCGGAAGUGCGCUCGCGUGCACAGACUACAUUGUAAUCGUUUGCUAUGUAAUUUGUGUGGAAGAGUAUUUCGAAAUCUGUGCGCAGGACACAGGCAGCCGAUCAGUACCGGAAAUGCAGAGCUUCAUGUCUGAGGCACAGAUGGCAGGAAGUGAACAGCCGCUGUUGUACUGCCGCACAAAUAAGAGCCUUUCCUGCACACUGAAGCUGCGCGAGCGUAUACUGUAUCUGUCCGCGCCCUGAACACGAGUAGACCGUGAAGAGAUGUUCAGCUCAACUUCUCACGUGUUGGAUGAGAAACGAAAACGGACUAAACUGUGACAAAACAGAAUUAUUUUUUAUUUAUUUAUUUUACUUUUUAUUAUUAUUAUUAGAACUUGCAUUCAUGUUUGAAAAGCCAGAAAUAAACUUCAGUUCUGAAUUAGGAUGAUUAUUUUUAUUUUACCCUAAAAUAGACUUAAUUUAAUUUAAAAAUCAUCUGCUGUAGCACACUGAAAAAAAGUAUUUCAUCUAAUUAAAAUAUUUUAGGGUAAUGAUUCACAUCUAUAUUUUUUUUACUUGAGUCAACAAGUUAUUUAUUUUUCAUUGGCUCAAGUAAAAAAAAUAUAGAUGUGAAUCAUUAUCCUAUUUAUUUAUUUUUAUUAUUAUUGGAUGAAUGAAACCCUUUGCAUCUUUGUUUUAUUCGCACAAACAUUAUUUGAUUUUAACAUUUUGGAAAAUGUAUUUAUAUAGCAUACUUUUAUUUAGUCUCACUGGUAAAGACCUUUUUUUUUAACUUAAAACCAAAUUUAAAAACUAAAAUACUGAAUGCUGAUCAAGAAACAUCUUUUUGAAUGUGUGUUGAUUGUGUUGUUUGGACUGUAGAACUAUGCAGUUGUUACCUUUAAUUUCACAUGGUUACAGUUAAUCUUUUAUUUAAGGCCAGUUCUCUGUAGUUUCAACCCAAUUAAAAAACAAAAGCUAAAUGCUGAUGUCUGUACCAUCUGUGUUUGUAUUGAAUGUAGGCUACUUAUUGUACAGUAACUGCCUUUAAUUUCAGAUGGUUACAGUUAUUGUUUUCAAUAGCCAAAAGCAAGUGUAAUUAUCUCUGCAGUUUAGGAUAUCGCACAAGAUUUGACAACACAGAACACGUCAUCACAGAAUUAUAAUUUUUUUUUCCGACAUCGUUUUUUGAUUUUGAUAAAUUUGCGCGAGGGAGAGAGCAAGACAGCGCUUGUGUUGUUUGAAGACGGUGAAGGUGGGCGUGAGCGCGUGGCUGGGCCCUCUCUCUAUCUCUCUCUCUCUCUCUCGUGCUCUUUCUCUCUCUCUCUGCUCGUUCUUAUGCGCUCUGUUAAACUGCUAGGACUUAAACUGUGCAAUUAAUCCGCGAAUCAAAUUCGGCUAGGGCCGGGGAGCAGCUGCCCGUACAGUUAAUGAAUAACGGAUCAACUACGACAGCCUACAUCGCACAUCCUGCAAUGUGACUAUCGUGGAUUCGUACAUCGCGAUAUCGAUGCUUAAACGACACAUCGUGCAGCCCUACUCAAUACCGUAGUUGAAACAUUAUAAUGUAACUUAAGUUUUGAAAAAGUUAAAACGGCUUGAUGUUGGUUGUAAAUUUGGUGCCUGGACUUCCUUGUUUUUUAAUGCUGUGUCAAGUGAUAAGCAGUUGGUGUAAAUGUUUUUUCUAAUUGCGUAGAUUAGUUUUACUGUACAGUAGCCAUACGACAGAGUGAGUGUCUAUAGUAUUCAAUGCCUUUAUUCAGGCCCCUUUACGUUUCACAUUUUAAUUGUAAAUUGAUUAAUUUAUUUUCUGAUGGCACAUUAGACGAAACGCAUCAUAAAAACUAUGUUGUAAUAUCUGAUGGCAAGCACUGAACCCAUACUGUACUGAUUAAAUUUGGCUGUAGAUUCAAUUUGUAUCAAGGUCGUUUUUAUUUCUCUUGGAUUUCUUUUAAUGAUUUAAAGAUUAAAUUCUUAGAGCAUUUCAAAACCAGACAAAAAAAAAACAAAACAUUCCACUGAUAACGUUCAUAAUUUUAGACAAUUUAAGAAUUGUAGCUCUGAUCUAACCUUUCCGAAUGUGUUAUUACUGGUUAACUACAGGAUACUUAACUUUACCUCAAACAUAAUACAUACUUUUAAAAGUAAGCUUACCAUGUAUACGUUUAAUUGGUAUGGUAAUUAAAAAAAAAAAAAAUUUGUGUGUAUUUACUUAUUGUGUGCUCUGUCAGGUUUAGGGUGGGUGUUUGUAAAAGCACUAUGUGACAACUUUAUUUUAAAGGGCUUUAUAAUAUAUAUUAGAUUGACUUUGAUAAGAGCAGCAAAAUCACAUUCAACGUACGUCUCUCAUGGGUCAUAAUAAUCAGUAAAUUUAGCAACUAAAUUGUGUAAGAAUUAGUUAAAUGCAGUAUAUGAUUGUGGCAGUCUUAGUGGACUGAAAUGGCUUGCAGUUGAAGAUUGCAUGUUGUUCAAGUUCAUUUUUGAAGUCAAGCUGAACUAACUUAUUAAACCACCCUAUUUUUAACAAACCAAUAUAACUUCCAGAAAUACCAUUAUGAAUUGGCCAGCUGGCCAUAUUAUGACCUUUCUUUGUCUGUAGAUUACACUGGUUUGUCCCCAGAUUGGACAUCCAUGUGUACUUACUCAUACACUAGUUGGUCAGGGUUUUGUCCCCAGAUGGGACUUCCGUUAAUGCCCAUAUAUGGAGUUGUCCCCGUGUCCCCACGUGUUAACCUGACCUGUCCCCAGAUUAUCACCUACCCUUAUUUUAAUGAAUUAAUUACAUUUUAAGUGAGAUAUUUAUUAAACUUUUUUUUUUAGAUUUUUUGAU